Manis javanica (Malayan pangolin) is the source of this 6919-nucleotide non-coding RNA. NCBI's taxonomy places the organism in Eukaryota, Metazoa, Chordata, Mammalia, Pholidota, Manidae. The record is from RefSeq and is a predicted model, not a curated record.
ACGCGUCUCCUCCCACUUUCGGGCCACAGAGACUCAGGGACAGAAGGGCCGUCCUCGUGCUCCAAGGCCCCGCCCCCCGCUCGGCCGCCCGCGCCUCCAGCGGAAGCCGGAAGCAAAAACAGGCCUUGCUAGCCCCCGGCUCCGAGCUCGGUGGUCUCGGAGGCUCUGCAGGAUGGGGCUGAAGAUGGCGGAAGAGGAGUUCCCCAAUACAACUCAUGAAGGUUUCAAUGUCACCCUCCGCACUACCCUGGUGGUCACUACAAAACUGGUACUCCCGACCCCUGCCAGGCCCAUCCUCCCCGUGCAGACAGGGGAGCAGGCUCAGCAGGAGGAGCAGUCAAGUGGCAUGACCAUUUUCUUCAGCCUCCUUGUCCUAGCUAUCUGCAUCAUACUGGUGCAUUUACUAAUCCGAUACAGAUUACAUUUUUUGCCGGAGAGUGUAGCUGUUGUUUCUUUAGGUAUUCUUAUGGGAGCAGUUAUAAAAAUUAUAGAGUUUAAAAAACUGGCAAAUUGGAAGGAAGAAGAAAUGUUUCGUCCAAAUAUGUUUUUCCUCCUCUUGCUUCCACCUAUUAUAUUUGAGUCAGGAUAUUCAUUACACAAGGGUAACUUCUUCCAAAACAUUGGUUCCAUCACCCUAUUUGCAGUGUUUGGCACAGCGAUUUCCGCUUUUGUAGUAGGUGGAGGAAUUUAUUUUCUGGGUCAGGCUGAUGUAAUCUCUAAACUCAACAUGACAGACAGUUUUGCAUUUGGCUCCCUCAUUUCUGCUGUGGAUCCAGUGGCUACUAUUGCUAUUUUCAAUGCACUUCACGUGGACCCCGUGCUCAACAUGCUGGUUUUCGGAGAGAGUAUUCUCAAUGACGCAGUCUCCAUUGUCCUGACCAACACAGCUGAAGGUUUAACAAGAAAAAAUAUGUCAGAUGUCAGUGGGUGGCAAACAUUUUUACAAGCCCUUGGCUACUUCCUCAAAAUGUUCUUUGGCUCAGCAGCACUUGGCACUCUCACUGGCUUAAUCUCUGCAUUAGUGCUAAAGCAUAUUGACUUGAGGAAAACACCUUCAUUGGAGUUUGGCAUGAUGAUCAUAUUUGCUUAUCUUCCUUAUGGGCUCGCAGAAGGAAUCUCACUCUCAGAUCACUCUCUGGAGUCCCAUGUGGAUGCUCUUGUGAGCAGACCUUGCCAAAGAGGAAGCAGAGAGGACUCUGGCCAUUUUCACUGGAGAACUCUUUGCAUCAUGGCCAUCCUGUUCUCAGGCAUCGUGAUGUCUCACUACACGCACCAUAACCUGUCACCGGUCACCCAGAUCCUCAUGCAGCAAACCCUCCGGACCGUGGCCUUCCUGUGCGAAACAUGUGUGUUUGCAUUUCUUGGCCUGUCCAUUUUUAGUUUCCCUCACAAGUUUGAACUUUCCUUUGUCAUCUGGUGCAUAGUGCUUGUACUGUUUGGCAGAGCUGUGAACAUUUUCCCGCUUUCCUACCUCCUGAAUUUCUUCCGUGAUCAUAAAAUCACCCCGAAGAUGAUGUUCAUCAUGUGGUUUAGUGGCCUGCGGGGGGCUAUCCCUUAUGCCCUGAGCCUGCACCUGGACCUGGAGCCCAUGGAGAAGCGGCAGCUCAUUGGCACCACCACGAUCAUCAUCGUGCUCUUCACCAUCCUGUUGCUGGGCGGCAGCGCCAUGCCCCUCAUCCGCCUCAUGGACAUUGAGGAUGCCAAGGCACGCCGCAGGAACAAGAAGGACAUCAACCUCAGCAAGACAGAGAAGAUGGGCAACACUGUUGAGUCGGAGCACUUGUCAGAGCUCACCGAGGAGGAGUACGAAGCCCACUACAUCCGGCGCCAGGAUCUCAAAGGCUUCGUGUGGCUGGAUGCCAAGUAUCUGAACCCCUUUUUCACGCGGCGGCUAACGCAGGAGUGAUGCAGCAGUUACCUCACUUGACAGCUGAGGAGACUGCGGCCCGGAGAGGCGAAGUGCCCCCCCGAGGUCACAUGCCCUGUGUGUGGCAGAGCUGGGAGCAGGCCCGAGUGUGUCCGAUCCCAGAGGCCGUGCAUCUCAACAUCGCGCCGCCCUGCCUCCUACUCUUAUUUCUGAGUGACGGCUCCUGUUACCUCCACCCCCACAAAGAGAAACCCCAGCUUGAGCUAAUCUCUUAACACUGAAAUUGCCCGUGGCCAAGCACUCUGCCUGCUGUGGCCCCCACACGAGGUACACAGCAGCUCCCUGGCCCCAACUGUGCCCCCAAUCCCCUGACAAGGGCUUGAUUAUGUCUGCUUCCCCAGGACCUCCACCACGGGCGCAUCCAGAUGAAAACCCUCACCAACAAGUGGUACGAGGAGGUGCGCCAGGGCCCUUCCGGCUCCGAGGACGAUGAGCAGGAGCUGCUGUGACUGAACAGGGCGCCAUGGCUUCUGGGCAGGCCGGCCUGCAGCGCUGCCGGCUGGCCUCCCCAGGGCCCCCGGGAUGGACACCCAGCAUGGGCCCCUGGAGACACAUGCUCAUGGCACCCUCUUCAGGGGAGAUGAAAGGGCUCCUCAGAAGCUCUCAGUGUUGCUUCUCGGCCCGCAGAUUGGAAGGACUACCUGUCCAGGUAAAUUUUCCUUCUGCCUCUGCAUCCGGGCGAACAGUCACUGUCCAGCCAGGUACCUGAGGGGAGGAAGCCUGCAGUGGAGCCUGCCUUGACCGGGUGUGCAGGGAGCCCUGGUGCCACUCCCGCCAUUGCUGGCACUGCCUUGCCCCAAGAGGGCCUGCGGAGGGGCCGCCCUUGCUGGAACAGCUGUCUGCACUAGCAGGGCAAGCAGCCUCCGGCCUCAGCGGCAGCGAUUCUAACCCCUAGCAGGCUCAGAAAUCUUGGAAACCUCACACUCCCUUUGGCAUGUUGCUUUCACUCCCUAAGAGUGACCCUCUUCUUUACCUCCACUUGGCACCUCGCAGGCUGUCUCCGUGGGUGGCAGGCAGCUGCAGCGUCUCUCUGGGAAUACUGUGAAUGUUUACACUGGUACUGAACAGGAGGCUGCAGGAUCCUCUCUCCAGCCCAGUGAGAAGCUGCGACCCCGGGUUUUCCGGUGGGGUGAGUGAGCCUAGUCUGUGGAGUCAGAGCGCCCUCUGGAGGGAAAAGCUAGACGUGACAGGGUUUAUGAGAUGGAGCACCUGCUGCUUUUGAAUUCAGUUUUAAUUCAUGAACUUGCACAGUCGUGAGAGCCUCGCAGUCUCCUCCCUGACCUCAGUUCCCUACCCAGGGGGCCUUGUUGUCCAGAGGCCCCUUUCCUGGACUCGGGGGUCUGUCCACAAUCUAGCUGCUGUCACCCUCACUGCUUGCCAUCAUUUCCUCUUUCCCUCUCCCAGUUCUCUACUGUCUUGGGUCCCAGUUACCCCAAGCCAGGGUCCCAGCUCACCAGAGCCCCGGAGCAGGGACCUGAGCAGCAGUGCUGUGUGCCCCUCCGCGCCCCCCUCCCCUGGACUCCAGCACCCUGGAGCCAGCUGCGCCCAGAGCCUCUCCUGCGAUGCCCAGGCUGCCAGCCUCCAGGACUCGCUAACAGUGUGCACACUGUCUCUCUCACAUGCACACGCCCUGCCACCGCCAUGGUCCUGGCCCCAUGGCCACCUCAGGGCAAGGAGCUGCCAAUCACGUCCAGAUGAAGUGGAGUUACUGACUUCUGCACCUGCUCCUCACCUGCCCUCUAGUGAGCCUCGUACCUGCUUGCCUUUUCCCAUUUACAGGCUGUUGGCAAUUCCCAUAUGUGGCUCUGCGUCCCAGCCAGAGCCUUGGGACCCGGCAGCCUCUGGGUAGUUUAAUUCAUCAUGUGCAUGUCCUUGGUUCUCUGCGGGGAUACAGUAGACCAGCAUGGACCCUGGGCACGCAGCCAGUUUCCAUCUCUUCUGCCUCAGACAGCAUGGCUGGGUGACAGGAGGGGCUGGCCCUGGAAUCUCCAGGACUCUGUGCCCAGCCCCUGAGGCCAGGCCCCUGCCCGAACCCUUUUUCUUUCCCCAGCGGUGUUAAGUGUAAGGCCGGUCGGGCAGGAAGCACAUGCAUCCUUUUUUAUGCAUGAAAGUAAAUCUAUACUUAAUAGAGCUAAAAGAUUAUCAUUUUCUUUUUGUAGUCUCCCACCUUAGCCCCAUAAUAUGAGCCAAACAGGAUUAUUUUACCCCACCUAACUCCCACUGGAGGAGUACUACCAUCCAUGACUCAGGUCUCCGUUAUUUCCUAUUUUCUUUCAGUGGGAAAGCAAGAAAGUCGUGGGGGGGGGGGGCCUUUUUUCCGCACCCGGGGGAGUGGCUGCGAAUGUGAGACCAGAUUGUUCUCUCAUUCUCCAGCUCACAAGUAACCUACUUUCUACCCUGAGAUUCGGGGUCUGAUCUCAGAGGUGUAAAUUGUAUUGCAAACUCAGUAAUUUGCCAGAUUUUUUUUUUUUUGGCUGUGAGUUCAUAGUAAGCAGUGAAAACAGGAUCUUCUCAAUUCAGACUGCCCCUUCUCAGCAGGUCCUGCCUGGUGCCCCACUUUUAUCUGAGACCUGGAAAUGAUGCUGUAGUGGAGAAGCAUGUGGGGGCUUAGGGGCAUCUUUCCCGGCAGGUACCCGCACCAGCCCGGAUCUCCCAUGAGCCUCUUCUGCCCCCUGCUGGCUGAGUGCGGGUGUAGCAGCCUGGGAGAGCAUCCCCUUGGGGACAAGAGUAACUGAUGCUCCUCAGCAGUCUUGUCUAGUCACCUUUGGAGCAGGCAGAAGCCCAUAGAGAUAUAUUUUUCUGGUGCAUUUUUUCAAAUCCACCAACUUUUUUUCAAAUUUUGCCUAAGAAUCAAAAAGUGCUGGUUUCUACCAUUAGCAUACUUAAUAAUUACAUUAUUUUGGGCAAUAAAUGCCUGAAAGAUUAAAAAAGUAAUACAGCGUAACUAACUUCCCACCUAUUUUCUUUAGGUCUAAGCCUUGGGACAGGAGAGCACUAGCGUAUAAAAUAGGUAAUACUUUAGGGGGAGGUGAGCGCUACGACGUCAGUGAGUGCCUUUGGGAGAGCCAGCUGGUUAGCCAGUGAACUCAGGAGCCAUGCCUGUCUUGGGGAGCUGGGAACCCAUGCAGUAAGCCCUACACCCCAAGGUUCCCCCUGUAGCCCUGUCUUUGUAGGAUCUCUGGGAACAACCAUCCUGCAGCUUAGGGUGUGAGGCUUUAUAGGGAAAGGAACUCUUCCUAGGUCCCCAGAGAUCAAGUUUGGUGCGGGCUGGGCUGGGCUGGGCUGGGCCGGGCCGGGCCGGCCCGGGCCAAAGGAAGGUGGCUUAAUGCUACAGUCUAGGGUUCAGACACUCAGCCUAGGGACAGAACCAAAGCCCCCCCCAACCCAAGGCCAGCCACCCCUUUUCACAGUGGGAGUGUUGGCAAGGCCCUGGCCGACAGGAGGCCAAGGGGCAGGGCCUGGCCCACAGUGUUGGCAGCCCCUGAGUAUCCAGGUCAACCCAGGGAGGCCCCGGUUUGCCUGCAGAUUCCUUUGUGUACAAUAGAAUGUGCAAAGAUUGGUGAAUGGGCAGCCUUUUCUCCAAAACCCACGUCAAAAGAGCCAUGUCAAAACAAAGACUUGGCCUCGUGAGGGCUUAGUUUCACAUUCCCACAGUGGCCCACACAUGCGGCAAAGUCCUCGGGGUGGCCAUGGCCAGGAUUCCACUUCUGCUUCGGUGGGAAGAGUGAGGGUAGGUCAGGGUGGUCGCUGGUUUUUCCUCAGCCAAGUCCUGGCCGUCAAAGGCAGGGCGGGGCUUGGGGUGGUUCUGGCUUAGAACUGGUCUUUGAUUCAGGUGUGAGGAAGAAUCUCUCCGCAGCUGCGAUCUACCUUUGAUUCGGCCUUUAAAUACAAAGAAAGGAGAAAAGGUCCCCCGAUCCCUCCCGCAUUCCCUCCAGAAUGCCGGCUGUGUUUCUUAUGCCGGUUGGUGGGUAGGAAAUAAAGUCUGAAAUAUUUCUGAUGCAGCAGCCAGAUUCAUUAAGGAGUGGCUCCACCAGAAACCCAGGCUGCGAAGCCCCAGGCAGUACAUUUAAAUGAAAACACCAGUCGGAGUAAAGGCUUAAAGAGAGUGAGUGGCGGCACUAGCUCCCUUUUAGGCUCCUGCCCUUUCUCAUACGAAUGGAAUCAGGUAUUCAGGGGCCUCAUCGUCAUUGGCCAGGUGACAAAACCACAAAGAUGUUCUAAUUUUCCCUGACCCACCCCAUUUGUCACCCUUUUCCACCCCAGUGAACAUAAUCCCUGAGGGGAAAAAAUACUUGGCUGUUCUCACCCUUGAGGUGGGCUUCUCCCAGGCCGCUCUGCAGGAGCCCUGCCUGACUUCAGGUGAGAAAGCUGCACGCUGAGAUGGGACAGGGCGUGUGUGGAUUGGUGGUCAAAAGAGAAAGGUCACCUUUCAGUCGCGGGGGUGCGGGGGGGGACCCAUGCUCCCGGGAGCUUGUCAGCCUUAUGGAAGAGCCACGUGGUCUUGACACUCCCUCAUCCUUGAUGCCCCAGCCCUGCUCUCACCACCCUGCACAGCCCAGAGGCCCAGGAAGGCUCCUACUCCCUCAGUGGCUUUAAUGGUUUCUCCAAUACAGCUCCUGCAGAAUUUGAUUUGUUUUUAAGGUUAAUCAGAGUCCUACAUUCUUUUGAGUACUUUUCUUUGUAAGUAUGAAGGGUUUUUUUUUUUACAUACACUUGUUGAUGUGUUUUAAGGACCAUUGGGAAAGUAAGGUGUAUUCUUUUGUCCUCCUGCACAUGUUAAUGAGUCAUUUGUCACGCCCUGGUUCCUGAGAAAUGAUUUGUUUCUCUUCUUCAGAUUAGGGGGGGGAGGAUGAGUGAGAGAUGGCGGGACCUGUAGCUGCCGUACUGGGGCCCCUGCAUCACCUCACCGGACUCUUUAAAUAAUUCAGAAAUGAAUGGGAAACAGUAAUGUCACUGGAUACUUCCUUAGGAAUAAAAAUGAUUGCUGCUGAA